AUGAGACGUAUUACUUACCGUGGCUGCCUGCCAGGUAACUUGUUGCGGCUCGGGGCGAAGUCCCGGUCUACCGCGAAUGCAUCACGUCGCCACUAUAAAACGCGCACCUUGACCCCGUCGGAAACCCAUCGUUCCGCCGCCGCGACCGCGAUGGCGUACCGCCGGAAGCCGCAGUCCUCCUUCGAGCACCACCACCACCACCCGCAGCCCGCUAGCCCUCCCUCCCCGCCGCAGGACUCCCUCGCCGCGCAGGCCAUGCGCGCCUCCGCCGCCCACCGAGACGCCUCUUCUCUCUCCUCCGCCUACUCCUCCUCGGCUGCCUCCGCGGCCGCCGCCGCUCGCAGGAGCCACGAGCCCUCCGUCUCCACCCCUUCCCCUGACUCUUCCAGCUAUGGGUACACGUCCAUGAAGAGCUUGAACGAGGCCAAGUACGGAUUUUGGGGGACGCUUGCUCGGAAAGCAAAGUCACUUAUUGACGAGGAUGGGUCGCCGGGGCAAUAUGAUUCUCCGACGAGACAGCAGCCGCCAAGAGAUGGUACAUCACCAGCUAUCCAUAGACAACACUUGCAACAGCCAGCGCCAGAGACAUGGAAAUCCGAGACACCUCCAUCUCAGAAGAGGUCCGAGGCAUUAGCUUCCUCCCUUAACUAUAUUGGAGGCACAAUAAAGAGUGCCCUCGAAGAAGGUCGGACUAUUGUAGAGACUAAAACAGCUGACAUUAUUCAGGAGACGCGUAAACUGAAUAUAAGGCGGAAAGGAGCUGGAUCAAAUCCACAAGGAGAAACUUCUCACAAAUUUGCUCACAGAAAUUUUCCUCAAAAUCCACUCGAUUACGAAACUCAGUUGAAGGCAUCUCGCGACGUUGCAAAUGCCAUGUCAGCAAAAGCAAAGCUGCUAUUACGUGAACUGAAGACUGUGAAGGCAGAUUUAGCUUUUGCGAAGGAGCGCUGUGCUCAGCUUGAGGACGAGAAUAAAAUGUUGCGAGAAAAUCAAGAUAAUGGUGAUAACCCAGAAGAUGAUGAUCUGAUCCGCCUACAAUUAGAGACACUAUUAGCUGAGAAGGCGCGGCUUGCACAUGAAAACUCGGUGUAUGCUCGAGAAAAUAGGUUCCUACGUGAAAUUGUAGAGUAUCACCAACUUACUAUGCAGGAUGUCAUAUAUGUGGAUGAAGGCAUCGAAGAAGUCACUGAGGUGUACCCUACUCAAGUACUACCUCCUGUGUCUGCUCGCACUGGGCCGGGCCUAGGUCGCGCAUCAACUCCAGUGACACUCAAACAUGUUAACUCAUCUCUGGCCUCCACAUCCACCCUUCUGGAACCUUCUCUGGUUGUGCCAGUUUCUCCAAAGACGCUUUCUAGGGCUUCAUCUCAAAGCAAAUAGAGAGAGCCUGGCACCACCAGCAACCGUUCAACAGGUAAAGAUGGUUGGUGGUGUGAUACGAGUAACACAUAUACUGUAACGGAGGUUGCGGCGCCAUUGUGCCUGUGGGAUGUUGUGGCCUCUGGGCUGUGGUGAAUACACGCAGGAUCUGUGAUGUGUGUAUGAUCCGUGUUGUAACUUGUGAGAUUUUUCUUUCACAUCACCAUGCUUGCGAAACUACGCAUUGCCGGGUUGCAUUUGUCUCUUCAGUUGAGGACUUGAUGCCGAGGCUAAAUUCAAGGUGCAUUGCGUGUCUGCCUGAGACGUUUUACAUGUUAUUGGUACAUAUGCAAGCCUUCAUUUGUUAAUAAUGCAGUUAUGUAAUGUUCAUCAAGCAAGCAAUGAAAUCUCCGAGUGCCUGAAAAUCCUGUUGGCACAUGACGCUCGACCAGGUGAAGUAGAAUCAAGACGAACUCUGCAUGUAAUGCACCAUCGAAAUCAGCAAGUAUCAAGCAGGUACCACUGUUCAGAAGGACGAGUAGAA
Molecule: ribosomal RNA, 1903 nt
Filed under: Triticum aestivum (bread wheat)
Lineage: Eukaryota; Viridiplantae; Streptophyta; Magnoliopsida; Poales; Poaceae
Description: partial small subunit ribosomal RNA
Source: RNAcentral